Molecule: ribosomal RNA, 252 nt
Filed under: uncultured organism
Description: partial 16S ribosomal RNA
Rfam family: Bacterial small subunit ribosomal RNA
Source: RNAcentral
UACGGAGGGAACAAGUGUUAUUCGGAUUAAUGGGUGUAAAACGCGGGUAGAUGGCUUUAUUUGCUUAUUAUAAAAGUUCUUUAGCGAAGGAGUUAAAGGGUAUAAUAAGGACGGUGAGGCUUGAGUAUUAAUAAUACAACAGUAUUUUAAGUGUAAAGUGAAAAUUUCAAAUAUUUAAAAGACUAGCACUUGGCGAAAGCGGUGUUAAGUAAUAUACUGACAUUGAGACGCUAAAGCUUAGUAGCAAAUAGG